This 253-nucleotide ribosomal RNA is filed under the name uncultured bacterium. RNAcentral's name for it is "partial 16S ribosomal RNA". It matches the Rfam family "Bacterial small subunit ribosomal RNA", at positions 524 to 776 of the family's 1533-position model. The record is from RNAcentral.
UACGAAGGGGGCUAGCGUUGUUCGGAAUCACUGGGCUUAAAGGGCGCGUAGGCGGGCUGUCAAGUCUGGGGUGAAAUCCCGCGGCUCAACCGUGGAACUGCCUCAGAUACUGACGGUCUCGAGGGAGGUAGGGGCGAGCGGAACUGAUGGUGGAGCGGUGAAAUGCGCAGAUAUCUGGAGGAACACCGGUGGCGAAGGCGGCAUUCUGGACCGAUAUUGACGCUGAGGAGCGAAAGCCAGGGGAGCAAACGGG